RNAcentral lists this long non-coding RNA (219 nucleotides) under Mytilus galloprovincialis (Mediterranean mussel). Lineage: Eukaryota; Metazoa; Mollusca; Bivalvia; Mytilida; Mytilidae. The record is from RNAcentral.
UUUUUACGUUGUGUUUCCGUUGUGUCGUUUGUUUUCUCCUAUUUUUGAGUGUGAAUUCAAAUUACUAUAAGACGUGUCACGGUACUUUUCUAUCCCAAAUUCAUGUAUUUGGUUUUGAUGUUAUAUUGGUUAUUCUCAUCGGAUUUUGUCUUAUGCUUAGUCCGUUGCUGUGUGUGUUACAUUUUAAUGUUGUGUCGUUGUUCUCCUCUAAUAUUUAAU